This 502-nucleotide ribosomal RNA is filed under the name uncultured bacterium. Its description in RNAcentral is "partial 16S ribosomal RNA". It matches the Rfam family "Bacterial small subunit ribosomal RNA", at positions 29 to 523 of the family's 1533-position model. The record is from RNAcentral.
AUUGAACGCUGGCGGAAUGCUUUACACAUGCAAGUCGAACGGCAGCAUAGGUGCUUGCACCUGAUGGCGAGUGGCGAACGGGUGAGUAAUACAUCGGAACGUGCCCAGUCGUGGGGGAUAACGUAGCGAAAGUUACGCUAAUACCGCAUACGAUCUACGGAUGAAAGCGGGGGACCGUAAGGCCUCGCGCGAUGGGAGCGGCCGAGGUCAGAUUAGGUAGUUGGUGGGGUAAAGGCCCGCGAAGCCAACGAUCUGUAGCUGGUCUGAGAGGACGACCAGCCACACGGGGACUGAGACACGGCCCAGACUCCUACGGGAGGCAGCAGUGGGGAAUUUUGGACAAUGGGCGCAAGCCUGAUCCAGCCAUUCCGCGUGCAGGAUGAAGGCCUUCGGGUUGAAAACUGCUUUUGUACGGAACGAAAAGCUCUGGGUUAAUACCCCGGGGUCAUGACGGUACCGUAAGAAUAAGCACCGGCUAACUACGUGCCAGCCGCCGCCGUAA